AGCAGUAGCUCAAGAUUAGAGCAUUGGUCUUGUAAAUCAAAGGUUGGGCAUUUAGCCCCUGCUACUAG
Molecule: transfer RNA, 68 nt
Filed under: Littoraria ardouiniana
Lineage: Eukaryota; Metazoa; Mollusca; Gastropoda; Littorinimorpha; Littorinidae
Description: tRNA-Thr
Rfam family: tRNA
About the family: Transfer RNA (tRNA) molecules are approximately 80 nucleotides in length. Their secondary structure includes four short double-helical elements and three loops (D, anti-codon, and T loops).
Source: RNAcentral